Molecule: long non-coding RNA, 507 nt
Organism: Ailuropoda melanoleuca (giant panda)
Lineage: Eukaryota; Metazoa; Chordata; Mammalia; Carnivora; Ursidae
Exons: 4
Source: RefSeq, a predicted model, not a curated record
GUGAAGGUGACUUUUUAGUAAAAACCAGAGGGAGUAAGGAAACUAGCUUUCUGGACACCUGAAGAGAGCAUGUUUGAGGCAGGGGAACCACAAGGACAUGGCCCUGAUGCUGGAGCUCCUCUUGGAUCACGGGGCUGUCUUUACCCCAGAUUCCAUAAAUAAGGAGAAGAACCUGGAAGACCUCAGGCUUUAGUAGAGAAGAGAUGAAUAGCAAUAAACAACAAUACCACUUGAUUUGUUGUCACUCUUCCCAUCAAUGGCCACCAAGAAAAUACUGUCGACAGACUAUUUUGGCCAACGGUGGUGAGGAGUGAAAAGUGCCAGCAAAUAUCAGAUCCACACCCUAAAUCUUCUGAAUGGGAUUCCGUGAAACACUUGACAAGCCUCUCUCCUCAUGUAGGUUGCUCCAUUCUGAAAAGAAUGUGUUUUUGUUAAGUGUUGUCAAUUUAUCUCUUACUUCUUUGUAUAAUCCUCCCAUUAUGAUGGCAUCAAGCUCAAUAAAGAAAA